Long non-coding RNA from Harmonia axyridis, 1008 nucleotides. RefSeq lists it as uncharacterized. The record is from RefSeq and is a predicted model, not a curated record. NCBI's taxonomy places the organism in Eukaryota, Metazoa, Arthropoda, Insecta, Coleoptera, Coccinellidae. The transcript is spliced from 2 exons.
CCUAUAUUUCUAGACGUAGGUACUUAUUGGAGACAUAACCUACCCAUUGAAUAGAAGAAAUUAAAAAAAAAAAUUGUGAGUAACAUUAAAAAAAAUAAAAUUCAAAAUGGGGGUAACCUCCCUAUGAGUCAACUCUAGUAACGCCACUGGGCUCAUUAAUUUCAAGAUUUCUAAAAUGGGCAAGAUAGCGGACUAAUGAAAAGAAAUAGCUUUGUGUCAAAUAAGAAUUUAACAGAUUUUAAAUUUGGUAACUGGUAACUUAAAAAUUUUCCCAAAAUUUAAUAAUCGAUAGCAGUAAAUUAUUAAUUUUCAUUCGAAUGUUAUUUGAGUACCUACAGAUGAGUUUGAUACUCCGAUAUUUUUCUUCCUGGUCUAUGAAUAAUAGAAAAAAAGGACAGUGACAUUUGUCAAACAAAAUGUUCGUGAAAGUUUGAAAAAAUUUAAACAGGUAUUCAAAGGCAAUGGAAUUCUUUGGAAACUGAAGGCUCGAAAUGCAAAAAGAAGAGAAGAGUCUAGUAACAUAUGAGUCGAAUCCAUACCCACAUGAAAUUUUACAUAUAAAAUGUUACGUAAUCAAGUUCAUACGGGAGCAAAUGGAAAAUAUCAGAGGGAGAAAACCACCACCAAAAAAAAAGACUCCCGCUGACAAAGCUCUACCUGAAGUUUCAGAAAAGCAACACACAGAAUCAAAGGCAAAUCGAGAAUCAAAUUCUGAAUGUAAACCAUGGGGAUGGCUACAGUGGCUAUUGCUGUAUUUACUCCUGCUGAUAAUGUUUUUAUAUGGUGCUAUUAUUGGCUCAAAUUUUUGUCAAACAAGAAGAUAUAGCUGUCAUCCUCUUUACCCAUUAAUUGGAUUUGGUAGAAAGGGGCGUGAAGUAAUCUUUUAAAAAUCAAGAGUAUUCUUCAAAACUAUUGUGUUCAUGAUCUAUGUCUCCUAGUAAAAUGUAUUAUACAUUUAUAUUGUAUAUUAUACAUUAAUUUUAUUUAUAUUAUAGAAUCAACAACUUA